AAAAGAAAGUCAUCGCCGGCGUCGUCGCCAUUUUUGCCGGCGAAAUCACAUAUACUUUCUCCCUCACCCAUCUUCAUCUCCGCCGCACACCAUCACUAUUUUCUUUCCUCCUCCAACCUCCACAGUAACAACAACCUAAACCACCGCAAAACCAGAUCUGGCAAAACUUUUCGUAAUCCUCACACCCCAAAUUGCUUACAAAUACAAUUUCACACCAACCUAUGCCGUGAAACUCGUCGAAAUCUACC
RNAcentral lists this long non-coding RNA (248 nucleotides) under Solanum tuberosum (potato). RNAcentral describes it as "long non-coding RNA (STUB_LNC007196)". Lineage: Eukaryota; Viridiplantae; Streptophyta; Magnoliopsida; Solanales; Solanaceae. The record is from RNAcentral.